GCGCUUGCAAUCAGACUUGAGUGUAAUGGUUCCCCCUUGCUUUUGCUUGGGCUACUCCGUUAUAUCCAGGCCAUCAUCGGUUCUAGGAGUUGGUUAAAGGCCUUGGGAAUGUACCUACCUCCGGGUAGACUUAUAGCCUAGGGUGUCAUGCAACUUCCCGGGACCGAGGUACGCGCUUCGGCGAGGAUGAUGGCGUAAUGGUUGUAAGCGACCCGUCUUGAAACACGGACCAAGGAGUC
RNAcentral lists this ribosomal RNA (239 nucleotides) under Cladophialophora hostae. RNAcentral's name for it is "partial large subunit ribosomal RNA". It matches the Rfam family "Eukaryotic large subunit ribosomal RNA", at positions 419 to 675 of the family's 3401-position model. The record is from RNAcentral. Lineage: Eukaryota; Fungi; Ascomycota; Eurotiomycetes; Chaetothyriales; Herpotrichiellaceae.